Molecule: unclassified non-coding RNA, 401 nt
Filed under: uncultured Mortierella
Lineage: Eukaryota; Fungi; Mortierellomycota; Mortierellomycetes; Mortierellales; Mortierellaceae
Description: partial contains 5.8S ribosomal RNA, internal transcribed spacer 2, and large subunit ribosomal RNA
Rfam family: 5.8S ribosomal RNA (bases 1-105)
Source: RNAcentral
GAAAUGCGAUACGUAAUGUGAAUUGCAGAAUUCAGUGAAUCAUCGAAUCUUUGAACGCAUAUUGCGCUCUUUGGUAUUCCGAAGAGCAUGCUUGUUUGAGUAUCAGUAAACACCUCAACCAAAAUUCUAUUUUUUGAAUUUUGGAUGGAUUUGAGCAAACCCAACGGCAAAUGCGCCUAGCAAAUGCGGCGGGUUGCUUGAAAUGCAGGUGCAGCUGUGACAAGAACAGACUGAGCUAAAAGCAUAUCUAUUUAGUCCGUUUCGGCGGAUUAUUUCUAAUUUGCUGCAGCUACUCUAAGGUCCUCUUGUGUGAGCUGACUGAUGCAGGAUUUUGUUAGAAGGCCUUGGUCUUCUUUCAAAAACUCGAUCUCAAAUCAAGUAAGACUACCCGCUGAACUUAA